Molecule: unclassified non-coding RNA, 273 nt
Filed under: Glomeraceae sp.
Lineage: Eukaryota; Fungi; Glomeromycota; Glomeromycetes; Glomerales; Glomeraceae
Description: partial contains 5.8S ribosomal RNA and internal transcribed spacer 2
Rfam family: 5.8S ribosomal RNA (bases 1-71)
Source: RNAcentral
GUGAAUCAUCAAAUUUUUGAACGCAAAUUGCGCUUCCUGGCAUCCCGGGAAGUAUGCCUGUUUGAGGGUCAGUAUUAAUAAAAAAUCGGUUUAGUUACAAAUUGUGACGUUUCCGGAGUUUGGGCUAUCUUAAAAUUUUUAGGUAAGAGGCUUAAAAUUGACCUUUUUUGCGCAUUUUUAAAAGGAAAUAAAUUUUUUUUUAUUCGUCUAUUCUUAAUUCCAAAAUCUUAUUAGAAGCGAUCACAUCCUGUGGUUUCGGGUCCAUAAAAUUUG